RNAcentral lists this transfer RNA (74 nucleotides) under bacterium (Candidatus Gribaldobacteria) CG_4_10_14_0_2_um_filter_36_18. RNAcentral's name for it is "tRNA-Arg". It matches the Rfam family "tRNA". Rfam says of the family: Transfer RNA (tRNA) molecules are approximately 80 nucleotides in length. The record is from RNAcentral. Lineage: Bacteria; Candidatus Gribaldobacteria.
GCGUUUAUAGCUCAGUGGGUUAGAGCGCGGGUGGGCGGAGGCCGAGGUUGGCCGUUCGCUUCGGCCUAGGCGCA